AUUUUGCACAAUGGGGGCAACCCUGAUCCAGCCAUCCCGCGUGUGCGAUGAAGGCCUNNNGGUUGNAAAGCACUUUUGGCAGGNGAGNAAAGGCGCUGGCUAAUACCUGGAGCUGCUGACGGUACCUGCAGAAUAAGCACCGGCUAACUACGUGCCAGCAGCCGCGGUAAUACGUAGGGUGCAAGCGUUAAUCGGAAUUACUGGGCGUAAAGCGUGCGCAGGCGGUUCGGCAAGAAGGAUGUGAAAUCCCAGGGCUUAACCUUGGAACUGCAUUCUUAACUGCCGGGCUAGAGUAUGUCAGAGGGGGGUAGAAUUCCGCGUGUAGCAGUGAAAUGCGUAGAGAUGCGGAGGAAUACCGAUGGCGAAGGCAGCCCCCUGGGAUAAUACUGACGCUCAUGCACGAAAGCGUGGGGAGCAAAC
This 420-nucleotide ribosomal RNA is filed under the name uncultured bacterium. RNAcentral describes it as "partial 16S ribosomal RNA". It matches the Rfam family "Bacterial small subunit ribosomal RNA", at positions 361 to 773 of the family's 1533-position model. The record is from RNAcentral.